RNAcentral lists this ribosomal RNA (250 nucleotides) under uncultured prokaryote. RNAcentral's name for it is "partial 16S ribosomal RNA". It matches the Rfam family "Bacterial small subunit ribosomal RNA", at positions 524 to 773 of the family's 1533-position model. The record is from RNAcentral.
UACGUAGGUGGCGAGCGUUGUCCGGAUUUACUGGGUGUAAAGGGCGCGUAGGCGGGGAUGCAAGUCAGAUGUGAAAUCUAUGGGCUCAACCCAUAAACUGCAUUUGAAACUGUAUCUCUUGAGUGCCGGAGAGGUAGACGGAAUUCCUAGUGUAGCGGUGAAAUGCGUAGAUAUUAGGAGGAACACCAGUGGCGAAGGCGGUCUACUGGACGGUAACUGACGCUGAGGCGCGAAAGCGUGGGGAGCAAAC